UCCAGACUCCUACGGGAGGCAGCAGUGGGGGAUAUUGCACAAUGGGGGGAACCCUGAUGCAGCGACGCCGCGUGGGUGAAGGAGCGUUUCGGCGCGUAAAGCCCUAUCGGCAGGGAAGAAGGAGGACGGUACCUGACUAAGAAGCCCCGGCUAACUACGUGCCAGCAGCCGCGGUAAUACGUAGGGGGCAAGCGUUAUCCGGAUUUACUGGGUGUAAAGGGGGCGCAGACGGCAGCGCAAGCCAGGAGUGAAAGCCCGGGGCCCAACCCCGGGACUGCUCUUGGAACUGCGCGGCUGGAGUGCAGGAGGGGCAGGCGGAAUUCCUGGUGUAGCGGUGAAAUGCGUAGAUAUCAGGAGGAACACCGGCGGCGAAGGCGGCCUGCUGGACCGCGACUGACGUUGAGGCUCGAAAGCGUGGGGAGCAAACAGGAUUAGAUACCCUUGUAA
This 447-nucleotide ribosomal RNA is filed under the name uncultured bacterium. RNAcentral describes it as "bacterial SSU rRNA". It matches the Rfam family "Bacterial small subunit ribosomal RNA", at positions 330 to 793 of the family's 1533-position model. The record is from RNAcentral.